This 2836-nucleotide long non-coding RNA is filed under the name Salmo salar (Atlantic salmon). Its description in RNAcentral is "lncRNA (ENSSSAG00000090780.1)". Lineage: Eukaryota; Metazoa; Chordata; Actinopteri; Salmoniformes; Salmonidae. The record is from RNAcentral.
GGGGGUGGGGCAAGACCCAGGUGAUGGGGGAGAUCAAGGUGGCUCUGAAGAAGGAGGUGAAACAAGAGGGAGACCAGCUGAUCCUGGAAGUCCUACAGUGUAGAAACAUCACUUACAAAUUCAAGAGCCCAGACCACCUACCAGAUCUCUAUGUGAAGCUGUAUGUGGUGAACGUGGCGACUCAGAAGAGGAUUAUCAAGAAGAAGACCAGAGUGUGUCGUCACGACAGAGAACCCUCCUUCAACGAGACCUUUAGGUUCAGCCUCAACCCCACCGGACACUCCCUGCAGUUGUUCCUGGUGUCUAACGGGGUAAGUUUAUGAAGAAGACCCUGAUAGGAGAGGCCUACAUCUGGCUGGACAAGGUGGACAUGAGGAAGAGGGUGGUCAGCUGGCACAAGCUGCUGGUCAGCUCCACACACAACCAGUCAUGAGAGGUCAACUUGAGAGGACACCGAGGGGUCAACCAGAGGUCAGUGAAGAUCAAUGAAUACUUAUGGUCAAUGGCUGUUCUUUGUCAAGACGAGGAGGAGGAGUUGAGUUACACAGUGCCCUUCAUCCCCUUUGUGUUAUUCUGUAUGGAAAGAAAAGAGAGGGGGAGGAGAAGAAGAGAUAAGAGGGAAGGAAGAGGGGUUGCGGGUACGGACUCGCCCAGAAAGAACUGAUCCUCCUAUUCCCUCUCCCACUGCCAGACAUGGACUUUACCCUGAUCCUUAAUUGGACCAAAGACUGUCAGAGACUGUACCCUGAUUGGAUAGACUGCCAGCACGCACGCACGCACACACACACACACACACACACACACACACACACACACACACACACACACACACACACACACACACACACACACACACACACACACACACCGAGGAAUGAAGAAGUCCUCCGCUGUAAGAGGACACACACAUCUCACCACCUGUCAGCUCUCUGCUCGACAUGUCGGAUGCAAAACCUGACGUCAAACAGGACUGGGCAGCAAUAUCACAAAGAUAGUUACCAUGAUGGAGCUACUCAUUUCUGUUCUGUCUGAAUCUGAUACUGUUGUUUAUGGCUUAUCAGAUCAUUAUCAUUAUUGGGAUUGAUCUGUGAAAAUGUCAGUCAGUCAGUGAGUGGGGUUCAAAUUGAUGUAUUUGUUUGUGUGUUUUUGUCCUUGGCUGUUUGACAAAGUAUGGAAUGUUUGUUGUAAGAUUCUAUUUAUGUUGUGUACAAAAAGUACAGUGCAAUUAUAUUGUUGAUAAGUAAUUAACGAAACCUGACCAUACCUGAACUCUCAAGUCCAGUAGGUGACAGUAAUGUACCAUUACAGUUUGUUGCCAACAGCCAUAAAACUCCAACUUGACCUUACCUGGAAAGAUGUAGAUGUACAUUCAGAUUUAGAUAGAUAUAUGUCAGAAUAUGAAUCAUAUCAGAGACACAGUGUACAGAGAAAUGUUAUUUAUGACCAUAGAUGCAUAUAUUACAGAUGAUAUGAGGUGUCUCCUCAUGUACAGUUUAUUCUAAAGACUACAUUCUGGACAAACAAGGGUAUGGAAGGAGCACAGACAAUCCAAUCCCUUUAGCUCUGGUGUUAUGCAGUUAUACUGGGUGUUAUACAGUGGGAAAACAGGAAAAUGCAGUUCAAAUGGUGAAUGUAGAACUCAUAGCACAACUGAGACAGAGAGGAGAACAACUACAUGGAUAUCCGUCCUCUUACAGGUGGGGAGAAGAGAACAGAUAGAAGAGGAUGUCAGGUCCCUUCCCUUCAAACUCAUGGCAGUCUGAUAUAUUGUGUUGUGAGAGAGUCCAUUCCACAUACGGACAGCAGUGUGUAGGAAUCUUCCGUCCCCUCCCCUUAUUAUGUCCUGAACGUUACUCACUGAGGAAGAUCACAUGAUUUUACUGGACCCAUCAGACUGGUUAUGUUUUUGUGAUGUCUUACGCACAUGUGACUGGAGGCUUAAACAAUAGUUUUGGUUUGAGAGCAAAACCGAGAUUGCUGGCCACCUUGCCCAACCUGCAAUCGAACAGAGGGAUGUGUAGCCUCUCUCUGGUGAAGUGCUCUGCUCCCCUGUUUGGGCUCCUCACCUAUUCUAUGUUAAAGCAACAGUUAGACACACCUGUCCCCUGCGUGUGUGACAUCACAGUCUGGUUCUGUAAAAAAAACGGAACACCCAACAUCUUGCUGUAAACAGUACACUGUAAAUUGUGCACUGUGCAGUCAGUGUCAGUGGAUGUAAUGCGACAACACAGUGAACCAGCCUUUGUCACUGCCUCUGGUCAAAGCUCUAAGUCAUUACCUAUGGUCCAGUCAUAACACGGCCAGGACACACUGAUACACACUGAUAUACAGUCCAAAUCUAUGGGCUCAGAACCAUAUGGCACUACUGUUGUUAGUAUAUUAUUAUUGUCAGUGAUCUAUAUAGUGGAUCAUAGUGAACAACAUCCUCAAGUGACCCUACAGAGCUAGUACCCUCCACCCUAUCUGCAGGCAUAUCACUGAGCAACUAGGGGAGGACAGAUGCAAUUUCCUAAUAAAUUAAGUCCAUAUCAGAGGCUCGAAAUUCAGACACUGAGUCAAGAUGUCACAAAUGUUCAUAAGACAAAAAAAACGUGAUUUUAAAGAGGGUUAGUUUUACAGAAAAUGAUAUUGUCGUGCCAACCUUGUUUUGUAAGCAAACCCAUUGGUUGUGUUGAAGUCAUUCUAUGCAACAUAGACCUUGUGUUUGAAUGCAUUUUCUUAACAUGUAAUAUCAGUGAACAUUGUGUCUGAAAAUAUGUAUCUUAUGAAUAGAAUUUUAAUUUAUUUUGGUUUAUAUAUUAUUGAAGAAAAGUAUAAAAAAAAUAGAGAGAGAUUU